This 261-nucleotide ribosomal RNA is filed under the name uncultured bacterium. Its description in RNAcentral is "partial 16S ribosomal RNA". It matches the Rfam family "Bacterial small subunit ribosomal RNA", at positions 92 to 354 of the family's 1533-position model. The record is from RNAcentral.
UGAGUGGCGGACGGGUGAGUAACGCGUGGGCAACCUGCCCUGUACAGGGGGACAACACUUAGAAAUAGGUGCUAAUACCGCAUAACGGGGGGAGCCGCAUGGCACCCCCCUGAAAACUCCGGUGGUACAGGAUGGGCCCGCGUCUGAUUAGCUGGUUGGCAGGGUAACGGCCUACCAAGGCGACGAUCAGUAGCCGGCCUGAGAGGGCGGACGGCCACAUUGGGACUGAGACACGGCCCAGACUCCUACGGGAGGCAGCAG